GGGGCCUUAGCUCAGUCGGUAGAGCACUGCCUUUGCAAGGCAGAUGUCAGGGGUUCGAUUCCCCUAGGCUCCACAA
RNAcentral lists this transfer RNA (76 nucleotides) under Mycobacterium leprae. Its description in RNAcentral is "tRNA-Ala". It matches the Rfam family "tRNA". From Rfam's summary of the family: Transfer RNA (tRNA) molecules are approximately 80 nucleotides in length. Their secondary structure includes four short double-helical elements and three loops (D, anti-codon, and T loops). Further hydrogen bonds mediate the characteristic L-shaped molecular structure. tRNAs have two regions of fundamental functional importance: the anti-codon, which is responsible for specific mRNA codon recognition, and the 3' end, to which the tRNAs corresponding amino acid is attached (by aminoacyl-tRNA synthetases). tRNAs cope with the degeneracy of the genetic code in two manners: having more than one tRNA (with a specific anti-codon) for a particular amino acid; and 'wobble' base-pairing, i.e. permitting non-standard base-pairing at the 3rd anti-codon position. The record is from RNAcentral. RNAcentral also lists the same sequence under 4 other names. Lineage: Bacteria; Bacillati; Actinomycetota; Actinomycetes; Mycobacteriales; Mycobacteriaceae.